UGGGGAAGAUUGCACAAUGGGCGAAAGCCUGAUGCAGCGACGCCGCGUGUGGGAUGACGGCCUUCGGGUUGUAAACCUCUUUCAGCAAGGAAGAAGCGAAAGUGACGGUACUUGCAGAAGAAGCGCCGGCUAACUACGUGUCAGCAGCCGCGGUAAUACGUAGGGCGCAAGCGUUGUUCGGAAUUAUUGGGCGUAAAGGGCUUGUAGGUGGCGUGUCGCGUCUGCGGUGAAAACUCGAGGCUUAACCUUGGGCGUGCGGUGGGUACGGGCAGGCUAGAGUGCGGUAGGGGAGACUGGAAUUCCUGGUGUAGCGGUGAAAUGCGCAGAUAUCAGGAGGAACACCGAUGGCGAAGGCAGGUCUCUGGGCCGUUACUGACACUGAGAAGCGAAAGCAUGGGGGGCGAACAGG
This 409-nucleotide ribosomal RNA is filed under the name Actinomycetes bacterium. RNAcentral's name for it is "Actinobacteria bacterium partial 16S ribosomal RNA". It matches the Rfam family "Bacterial small subunit ribosomal RNA", at positions 355 to 776 of the family's 1533-position model. Lineage: Bacteria; Bacillati; Actinomycetota; Actinomycetes. The record is from RNAcentral.